GAUGAAGAACGUAGCGAAAUGCGAUAAGUAAUGCGAAUUGCAGAAUUCAGUGAAUCAUCGAAUCUUUGAACGCACAUUGCGCCCGCUAGUAUUCUGGCGGGCAUGCCUGUCUGAGCGUCAUUUCAACCCUCACGCUCGGCUUCGUGUCGGGGGUGGUGUUGGGGAUCGGCCUCCCGGUUACGGGCGGCCGGCCCCGAAAUAGAGUGGCGACCACGCCGUAGCCUCCUCUGCGUAGUAGUGAAAGCCUCGCAGGCGGAGAGCGGUGCGGCCUGCCGUAAAACCCCCAACUCUUCUAAGGUUGACCUCAGAUCAGGUAGGAAUACCCGCUGAACUUAAGCAUAUCAAUAAGCGGAGGA
This 356-nucleotide unclassified non-coding RNA is filed under the name soil metagenome. Its description in RNAcentral is "partial contains 5.8S ribosomal RNA, internal transcribed spacer 2, and large subunit ribosomal RNA". The stretch from base 1 to 120 matches the Rfam family "5.8S ribosomal RNA", at positions 35 to 154 of the family's 154-position model. The record is from RNAcentral.